Molecule: ribosomal RNA, 256 nt
Filed under: uncultured bacterium
Lineage: Bacteria
Description: partial small subunit ribosomal RNA
Rfam family: Bacterial small subunit ribosomal RNA
Source: RNAcentral
AGGACGAACGCUGGCGGCGUGCUUAACACAUGCAAGUCGAGCGGUGAUCCUCCUUCGGGAGGUGAUCAGCGGCGAACGGGUGAGUAACACGUGGGCAACCUGCCCCUCACACUGGGAUAAUCUCGGGAAACCGGGGCUAAUACCGGAUACGACCUCGAGCGGCAUCUCUUGAGGUGGAAAGCUCCGACGGUGAGGGAUGGGCCCGCGGCCUAUCAGCUUGUUGGUGGGUAAUGGCCUACCAAGGCGACGACGGGUA